UAGCGAAGGGGGCUAGCGUUGCUACGGAAUCACUGGGCGUAAAGCGCGACGUAAGGCGGACUCUUAAGUCGGUGGUGAAAUCCUGGAAGCCUCAACUCCAGAACUGGCCUUACGAUACUGGGAGUCUCGAGUCCGGAGAAGAGGUGAGUGGAACUGCGAGUGUAGACGGUGAAAUUCGAUGAGAUAUUCGCGAAAGAACGACCAGUGGCGGAAGGCGGCUCACAUGGCUCGGGUACUGAACGCUGAC
This 247-nucleotide ribosomal RNA is filed under the name uncultured bacterium. Its description in RNAcentral is "partial 16S ribosomal RNA". It matches the Rfam family "Bacterial small subunit ribosomal RNA", at positions 523 to 750 of the family's 1533-position model. The record is from RNAcentral.